Molecule: ribosomal RNA, 440 nt
Filed under: uncultured bacterium
Lineage: Bacteria
Description: partial 16S ribosomal RNA
Rfam family: Bacterial small subunit ribosomal RNA
Source: RNAcentral
CCUACGGGAGGCAGCAGUGGGGAAUAUUGCACAAUGGGGGAAACCCUGAUGCAGCGACGCCGCGUGAGUGAAGAAGUAUCUCGGUACGUAAAGCUCUAUCAGCAGGGAAGAAAAUGACGGUACCUGACUAAGAAGCCCCGGCUAACUACGUGCCAGCAGCCGCGGUAAUACGUAGGGGGCAAGCGUUAUCCGGAUUUACUGGGUGUAAAGGGAGCGUAGACGGUGAUGUAAGUCUGGAGUGAAAGGCGGGGGCCCAACCCCCGGACUGCUCUGGAAACUGUGGAGCUAGAGGGCUGGAGAGGUAAGUGGAAUUCCUAGUGUAGCGGUGAAAUGCGUAGAUAUUAGGAGGAACACCAGUGGCGAAGGCGGCUUACUGGACAGUAACUGACGUUGAGGCUCGAAAGCGUGGGGAGCAAACAGGAUUAGAUACCCUUGUAGUC